UACGUAGGUGGCGAGCGUUGUCCGGAUUUACUGGGCGUAAAGGGAGCGUAGGCGGACUUUUAAGUGAGAUGUGAAAUACCCGGGCUCAACUUGGGUGCUGCAUUUCAAACUGGAAGUCUAGAGUGUAGGAGAGGAGAAUGGAAUUCCUAGUGUAGCGGUGAAAUGCGUAGAGAUUAGGAAGAACACCAGUGGCGAAGGCGAUUCUCUGGACUGUAACUGACGCUGAGGCUCGAAAGCGUGGGGAGCAAACAGGAUUAGAUACCCUGGUA
RNAcentral lists this ribosomal RNA (269 nucleotides) under uncultured prokaryote. RNAcentral describes it as "partial 16S ribosomal RNA". It matches the Rfam family "Bacterial small subunit ribosomal RNA", at positions 524 to 792 of the family's 1533-position model. The record is from RNAcentral.